CAACCUCAACUCAUAUGGGACUACCCCCUGAAUUUAAGCAUAUUAAUUAGGGGAGGAAAAGAAACUAACAAGGAUUUUCUUAGUAGCGGCGAGCGAAAAGAAAUCAGUUCAGCACUAAGUCACUUUGUCUAUAUGGCAAAUGUGAGAUGCAGUGUAUGGAGCGUCAAUAUUCUAGUAUGAGAAAUUAACGAUUUAAGUCCUUCUUAAAUGAGGCCAUUUACCCAUAGAGGGUGCCAGGCCCGUAUAACGUUAAUGAUUACUAGAUGAUGUUUCCAAAGAGUCGUGUUGCUUGAUAGUGCAGCACUAAGUGGGUGGUAAACUCCAUCUAAAACUAAAUAUAACCAUGAGACCGAUAGUAAACAAGUACCGUGAGGGAAAGUUGAAAAGAACUCUGAAUAGAGAGUUAAAUAGUACGUGAAACUGCUUAGAGGUUAAGCCCGAUGAACCUGAAUAUCCGUUAUGGAAAA
RNAcentral lists this non-coding RNA (467 nucleotides) under Drosophila ananassae. Its description in RNAcentral is "Eukaryotic large subunit ribosomal RNA". It matches the Rfam family "Eukaryotic large subunit ribosomal RNA", at positions 1 to 450 of the family's 3401-position model. The record is from Rfam by way of RNAcentral. Lineage: Eukaryota; Metazoa; Arthropoda; Insecta; Diptera; Drosophilidae.